GUCUUUUCGCCAACAAAUCACGUCCAACGUUGAUAAGGCAUGUUAUAUAGACCACCCGGUAUAUUUGAAUGAUAUGCCGCACACCAGGAGUUGAUUCGCCCCUCCACAAUCGAGCUUCAGCAGCCCUGAAGAAAACCCGCCCAGCCACCUGGAUACCAGGUGCCAGACGUCAACAUACAGCUGAACUGUGGAUACCAGAAAGCAGACCACACUGGGCCACCUCAAAGUCCUGGCUAGCUACAUGUAGGAACUGAGCUUUGAGAAAACAAUGGCAAUGAAAAUUUGUGGACACAAAUGCAAUUUAUAAUACUGUCACAGGUGUGAAUUAUUGUCUUAUGACUACUGUAUGUGAUCACAUAUUAUUUCCCAAGAACUACUGAUACUUGUAACCUUAAGCCAGCAUUUUCAUUGUCAGUUUUUGUAUGAAUAUGAGCAGAUUAAGAAGUUCUUCAGUAAU
Branchiostoma belcheri (Belcher's lancelet) is the source of this 457-nucleotide long non-coding RNA. RefSeq lists it as uncharacterized. The record is from RefSeq and is a predicted model, not a curated record. The transcript is spliced from 3 exons. NCBI's taxonomy places the organism in Eukaryota, Metazoa, Chordata, Leptocardii, Amphioxiformes, Branchiostomatidae.